This 301-nucleotide ribosomal RNA is filed under the name uncultured bacterium. RNAcentral describes it as "partial 16S ribosomal RNA". It matches the Rfam family "Bacterial small subunit ribosomal RNA", at positions 509 to 809 of the family's 1533-position model. The record is from RNAcentral.
CAGUAGCCGCGGGAAUACAGAGGGUGCGAGCGUUAAUCGGAUUUACUGGGCGUAAAGCGUGCGUAGGCGGCUUUUUAAGUCGGAUGUGAAAUCCCUGAGCUUAACUUAGGAAUUGCAUUCGAUACUGGGAAGCUAGAGUAUGGGAGAGGAUGGUAGAAUUCCAGGUGUAGCGGUGAAAUGCGUAGAGAUCUGGAGGAAUACCGAUGGCGAAGGCAGCCAUCUGGCCUAAUACUGACGCUGAGGUACGAAAGCAUGGGGAGCAAACAGGAUUAGAGACCCGAGUAGUCCCUGUCUCUUAUAU